This 245-nucleotide ribosomal RNA is filed under the name uncultured bacterium. RNAcentral describes it as "partial 16S ribosomal RNA". It matches the Rfam family "Bacterial small subunit ribosomal RNA", at positions 524 to 768 of the family's 1533-position model. The record is from RNAcentral.
UACGAAGGGGGCUAGCGUUGUUCGGAAUUACUGGGCGUAAAGCGCGCGCAGGCGGCUCUUCAAGUCAGGGGUGAAAGCCCAGAGCUCAACUCUGGAACUGCCUUUGAGACUGUAGAGCUUGAGUACGGGAGAGGUGAGUGGAAUUCCCAGUGUAGAGGUGAAAUUCGUAGAUAUUGGGAAGAACACCGGUGGCGAAGGCGGCUCACUGGCCCGUUUCUGACGCUCAGGCGCGACAGCGUGGGGAU